UCACCAAGGCAGGAUCAGUAGCUGGUCUGAGAGGACGAUAGCACACUGGGACUGAGACACGGCCAGACUCCUAGGGAGGCGAGUGGGGAAUUUCCGCAAUGGGCGAAAGCCUGACGGAGCAAGACCGCGUGAGGGAGGAAGGCUCUUGGGUUGUAAACCUCUUUUCUCAGGGAAGAAGCUCUGACGGUACCUGAGGAAUCAGCCUCGGCUAACUCCGUGCCAGCAGCCGCGGUAAUACGCGAGGAGCGCAAGCCGUUAUCCGCGAAUUAUUGGGCCGUAAAGCCGUCCCGCCAGGUGGCGAAUUCAAGGUCUUGCUGUCAAAAGCCACGUGGGCUUUAACUCGCGGCUUAAGGGCAGUGGAAACUGAAUAGCUAGAGUGCCGUAGGGGUAGAGGGAAUUCCCCGGUGUAGCGGUGAAAUGCGUAGAGAUCGGGAAGAACAUCGGUGGCGAAAGCGCUUUUACUGGACGGCAACUGACACUUCAGGGACGAAAGCUUAGGGGAGCGAAUGGGAUUAGAUACCCCAGUAGUCCUAGCUGUAAACGAUGGAUACUAGGUGUAGCUUGUAUCGACCCGAGCUGUGCCGAAGCUAACGCGUUAAGUAUCCCGCCUGGGGAGUACGCACGCAAGUGUGAAACUCAAAGGAAUUGACGGGGGCCCGCACAAGCGGUGGAGUAUGUGGUUUAAUUCGAUGCAACGCGAAGAACCUUACCAGGGCUUGACAUGUCCGGAAUCCCGGUGAAAGCUGGGAGUGCCUUCGGGAGCCGGAACACAGGUGGUGCAUGGCUGUCGUCAGCUCGUGUCGUGAGAUGUUGGGUUAAGUCCCGCAACGAGCGCAACCCUCGUCUUUAGUUGCCAGCAUUAAGUUGGGCACUCUAGAGAGACUGCCGGUGACAAACCGGAGGAAGGUGGGGAUGACGUCAAGUCAGCAUGCCCCUUACGCUCUGGGCGACACACGUACUACAAUGGUCGGGACAGAGGGCAGCGAACCUGCGAAGGCAAGCUAAUCCCAGCAAACUCGGCCUCAGUUCAGAUCGCAGGCUGCAACUCGCCUGCGUGAAGGGGGAAUCGCUAGUUAUCUCCACUCACAAUACGGCGCUGAUCCGUUCCCGGGCCUUGUACACACCGCCCGUCACACCAUGGAAGCUGGCCACGCCCGAAGUCGUUACCC
RNAcentral lists this ribosomal RNA (1169 nucleotides) under uncultured organism. Its description in RNAcentral is "bacterial SSU rRNA". It matches the Rfam family "Bacterial small subunit ribosomal RNA", at positions 265 to 1435 of the family's 1533-position model. The record is from RNAcentral.